UAUGGGACUAGUCCGGGUGGCUUGGCGUCACCUGUAACCUGAAACAGCCAAUAUGCAGGGGACGAAGUUUGAGGACGGCUGUGGCAGUCCAACUGACGCGGCAUAUUCUGACGUUGAUACCUCGUCCUGUGAGGUCAGCGGCGGGGGCGGACAUAUCCGGAGGGAUAUGUUUCCCUCUUGUCGUGGGCACCGGUUCAGGCCCGGAAGGGAGCAGACCUACCGUGAACGCAUGGCGCCCACAGGGUUGCGGGGCGGAGAAGGGGUAUGUCAGAGAGGCUGGAUGUGCGCUUCCAACCGAAAACGUGUCCCAUC
This 312-nucleotide signal recognition particle RNA is filed under the name Methanocalculaceae archaeon. RNAcentral's name for it is "signal recognition particle sRNA". It matches the Rfam family "Archaeal signal recognition particle RNA". The record is from RNAcentral. Lineage: Archaea; Methanobacteriati; Methanobacteriota; Methanomicrobia; Methanomicrobiales; Methanocalculaceae.